RNAcentral lists this ribosomal RNA (589 nucleotides) under Bacillus safensis. Its description in RNAcentral is "bacterial SSU rRNA". It matches the Rfam family "Bacterial small subunit ribosomal RNA", at positions 80 to 655 of the family's 1533-position model. The record is from RNAcentral. Lineage: Bacteria; Bacillati; Bacillota; Bacilli; Caryophanales; Bacillaceae.
UGCUCCCGGAUGUUAGCGGCGGACGGGUGAGUAACACGUGGGUAACCUGCCUGUAAGACUGGGAUAACUCCGGGAAACCGGAGCUAAUACCGGAUAGUUCCUUGAACCGCAUGGUUCAAGGAUGAAAGACGGUUUCGGCUGUCACUUACAGAUGGACCCGCGGCGCAUUAGCUAGUUGGUGGGGUAAUGGCUCACCAAGGCGACGAUGCGUAGCCGACCUGAGAGGGUGAUCGGCCACACUGGGACUGAGACACGGCCCAGACUCCUACGGGAGGCAGCAGUAGGGAAUCUUCCGCAAUGGACGAAAGUCUGACGGAGCAACGCCGCGUGAGUGAUGAAGGUUUUCGGAUCGUAAAGCUCUGUUGUUAGGGAAGAACAAGUGCGAGAGUAACUGCUCGCACCUUGACGGUACCUAACCAGAAAGCCACGGCUAACUACGUGCCAGCAGCCGCGGUAAUACGUAGGUGGCAAGCGUUGUCCGGAAUUAUUGGGCGUAAAGGGCUCGCAGGCGGUUUCUUAAGUCUGAUGUGAAAGCCCCCGGCUCAACCGGGGAGGGUCAUUGGAAACUGGGAAACUUGAGUGCAGAAGA